AGUGAACGCUGGCGGCAGGCCUAACACAUGCAAGUCGAACGAGUGGCGGGAGUGUGAGGAAUACAUCUGAAUCUACUCUGUCGUGGGGGAUCACGUAGGGAAACUUACGCUAAUACCGCAUACGCUUGACUGGGCCGAUGUCGGAUUAGCUAGUGGGCGGGGUAAAGGCCCACCAAGGCGACGAUCCGUAGCUGGUCUGAGAGGAUGAUCAGCCACACUGGAACUGAGACACGGUCCAGACUCCUACGGGAGGCAGCAGUGGGGAAUAUUGGACAAUGGGCGCAAGCCUGAUCCAGCCAUACCGCGUGGGUGAAGAAGGCCUUCGGGUUGUAAAGCACUUUUGUUGGGAAAGCGGUACCCAAAGAAUAAGCACCGGCUAACUUCGUGCCAGCAGCCGCGGUAAUAC
RNAcentral lists this ribosomal RNA (406 nucleotides) under uncultured bacterium. RNAcentral describes it as "partial 16S ribosomal RNA". It matches the Rfam family "Bacterial small subunit ribosomal RNA", at positions 29 to 526 of the family's 1533-position model. The record is from RNAcentral.